UAUUUUAAAUAUGAUUUAGUUUCCUACAUGUAUACAAUGUAUCUUGAUUAUAUAACCUUUACUCCUUUCAACUCCCCUCAGAACCUCUAAUCAUUUCUUCAUACCCUCCUUCUAAAUUAGUGAUUGAUGAGGGAAGGCAGAGACCAUUGUGGGUGGUGUCAUCCCUGGGCUGGUGGUCCUGGGCUCUAUAAUAAAGCAGGUUGAGCAAGCAUGGGAGCAGGUCAGUAAGCAGCACUUCUCCUCUAGGUUCCUGCCCUGCUUGAGUUCCUUGCCCUCACUGCUUUUGAUUAUGGACUGUUAUAUGGAAUUAUUAGUGAAAUAAACUCUCUCCACCUCAGAAGAAAAAAAAAAAAGGAAGGAGAACAAACAAACAAGCAAAUGAGCCAAAUCUAUCAACCCAAUUAAAGCCUAAUAAAUAAAAGAAAGAAACAAUCAAAUGGAAAAAAACCCAAAAGAUCAGCAAAGAAACAUUUUUAUUUCUGGAUAUAGUUUUAACCUAGCUCUAUUUACCACCAAACUAAUUAUCAUUCAUUCAUGCAUGCAUUUAAUUAAUCCGUGCAAGGGUUUACUAUAUAUUCCCAUGAGCCAAGAUCUGCAUAGUAUGCUUGAGAUAAAUUAUCUCUACCCUGAAAGCUCAUAGAUGAAGAGAAACUCUUGAAUUCAGUAAUUGAAGCUCUUGGUGCAUAUGGCAGCCCCAUGGAGGGAUGCUAGGGAUGCUAGCCAGCCUGCAGGCAUCCAUGAGGGCCUCCUGUGAAAGGUGUCAUCUUAGUGGGUCCUGAAUGAAGGGACUCUAGCCAGCCCCGGCAUCACAAACAUGGCUUUUCCUUGCUAAAACCCAUUAGAUUGCAUUCCUAGAGCUAACCAAGGUCUAUUUGCUUAUUUGGCCACUUCAUCUUCAUAGGGUUCACAACUAAAGGUCCAGCUAUAAAAAUAUUGAAAUCCAGCAUUCAAAAGCUCCACUUUUGCCUACCCUAAUUAGCCUGUACAAUCAAAAUUAAAUACCUCAUCCUAACAUGGGGUUUCUUGUUUUAUGUUUAUAAACUGUCAUUUGCCUAUGAGCCACAUCUGUCUCCUCUCUCCAGAGGCAGUCCUUUAACCAUGUGGGACAAAUAUCCCUUCCUACUUUCUUUUAUUCACUUCCCCUUUGCCCCUGCCUUUGUCUCUUAUUCUCCAUCCUUUACCUCCCUGGGGCAAAUAAAUCUCCUUUGUGCCAAGAACUUGGUUGUGGGGUGUCUGGUGUAGAAUACUGGUUCCUUCACUGGACCAUAGUUAAGAGUUUCCCUUCAGAAAUUGUUUUUGCACAAUAACCCUGAGCCAAGAGCAGAGGACCUAUGACUAAGUAGAUAUUGGAUCAAAGACACUGAGAGUCAUGAGUAAAAAAGGAGAAUUAAUUCAAACAGUAAAACUUAAGGGAAAAUUCAGAUCAGUGAUGGCUCUGGCUUCAAAUUACUAAGGGUGAGAGAAACUGAAUGACUUGCCUAUGAUUGCUCAGAUCCAGCAUUUCAUAGGGUCUUCCGUCUUCAAUAAGAGAAUACAUGGAAGUGCUUGCUUAGGUCUGGCUUAGUUUGAGGCUAAUUAAUGCCAAUUUAUCAUAAAGUGUUAUUAUUAUCAGUGAGAUUAUUUUAUGAUUAUUCCCUUGAAUUGCCUGAAUAUUCUGUCCCUGAUUUUUGCUUCUACAGGGAAAUAUGCUCACAUAUACAUCCUUGUGUCCAUAUGCUCACAUACAAGCACAUGCACACACACACACACACACACACACACACACACACAGACACAGACACACACAGACACACACAGACACACACGCGUGCACGAGGGUCGUAAGAACCAAAUGAGAAGGAAUGUGAGCACAGAGUUCAUGCUGUGGCUCCAAGAAGGGAUUGGACAUGAGGCUGGGACUUUCCUCAGGUGAAAAGUUGAAACUGAGCCUCCUACAAAAACCUGAACCUUUCAAGCGGUAUGUGCAAAAGAUAGAAAGCAAAGCAUCAUAUAGAAAAGAUAAGACGGUGGCCUUAAGUUGGCACAAUUUAAACUUGACUUUGGACCCUCUUAGAUUCUGAUAUGACUUGAUGACUCAGCUUAGUGGAACCCUCAACAGUGUUUGCUUGCUUUGAAGCAGCCAGUGUGCUCGGUAGGUUUUGCUUUUCCUUUGAGACAAGCUCUCAAGUAGCCCAGGCCGGUCUCAAAGUCGUUAUGUAGAUAAGUGUGACAUUGAACUUCUGAUCCUCCUGCCUCUAUCUCCCCAAUGUAGACAUUUCAGGUGUGUUACCACCACACCUCGUUUUAUGUGAUGUUGAGGAUCAAACGAUCAAACCUAGGGUUUCAUGUAUGCUAAGCAAACAACCAACUGGGCUGUAUCUCUAGCCCCUGAUCAAUAGAUUUUUAAAACAAAAACUGCAUUGUUACGGAUAAUGUAGUUAAGAUAGUUUCAUUAGGGCAAAAUAAGCAGCUCACCACUUUCAUGUACUUCAUAAUAACGUCAAACAUUUAAAGGUUACUGAAGGCUUGAAUAGACCAAUUAACCAGAUAAAUCUAUUUGACAUGUUGAGAACAAGUGAUCACAUCGUGAAGUGAAGAGACUUUGUAAAAUAUAAAGCCUACAUUGUCUAACCACACUGCAGUAAAUUAUGAACCUAAAAAAAAAAAACCCACUUGAAAUUACUUUAUCUUAAAAAGCUUAAAAAGGGAGCUAGAUGUGGUGGUGCACGCCUUUAGUCCCAGCACUUGGGAAGCAGAGUCAGGUAGAUCUCUGUGAGUUUGAGGCCAGCCUGAUCUAUGAAGAGUCUAUGUAUUUUAUGAAUACAAUGGCCAAGUUAAACUUCAAUAGUGUUGUGUUUUAUAAAAAGAUAAAGAGAAGAACAUGUUUGAUGGAUGUGUAGUCAGGUGUGGGGUUGGUGGAUGUGUAGUCAGGUGUGGGGAAGGGGGUACUUCUGCAGGCCCAUGCUGAGGCAUCCCUUCCCCCAGAGGGACCAGCCACACAAUGGUAUAGUAUAGAAUUGAGUUUAUUCAGGGCAGAUCCAAUGCCCUCUUCUAGCUUCUAUCAGUAUCCACACUAAGUCACUCAUGCACACUAUCCUCAUUUACACUUAAUUUAAAAUGUAAAUAAAUCUUAAAAAAUUAAAAUGAGCCCCUGAACAAGGAUAGCAAUCAUUGUGAAGAAAAGGAAGAUGUGUAUAAAAGGAGUCAGCCUUAGCUUUCCUGAGCACAAAGUAAGCAUGGCUAUGCAUAAUUGCUAUGUAAAAGGUAUAUGACACCCUUUAUACUUAUACUAAAUUAUUAACAUAAUAGAGCUAUUUGCAAGUUUUUACCUUUCACAAAGAAUAUCUUCUAGGGAUGCAUCAACUAAAAAAAGAGGAUAUUAUUUUAUGAGAGCAAAAAAGGUAAGUUUUUUAUUUCUGAAGGAUGUAUUUUAUUACAUUUAAUUAUGUGUAAGUGUGUGCGUGUGCACAUGAUUCCAAGUACCUGUGGAGGCCAGAAGAAAACAUUACAUUUCCUGGAACUGGAGUCAUGGGUGCUGUGGUAUAGGUGCUAGGAACCGAGCUUGGGUCCUUUGGAAAAGCAAGUAUGUUCCUUUAAGUACUGAGCCAUCUCUCUAUCCCGUACAUAUUUCAUUCUUAGGCCAACUUCAUAAUUACUGCAUGUGAACAUGUCUUCCGUGAGAACAAGCCACCUUUUGCAUGACCUUUGUAGCUUGUGGUCUUUACCUGGUGGUGUUAACAUAAGGCAAAUUUUAGUGAAUUGUUUUAAUUUCUCAAGACUGAAGCCAUCAAUGUCUCAUGGGAAUGUGAUCAUCAGGUCUAAUGUUGCCUUAUUGCUGGUGACUAAUUCGGUUACCACGAAAACCUGGAACUUUCUCAAUAUUCUUCUAGUCAUUUUACUUUUUCAUGUUUGUAUCUUGCAGACUAUGCCCACAUCUUGGAAUCAGAAUAUAAAGCUAUGAAGGUCAUAGGUAGUCAUCAUCCGGCAUGUAAAGAUCAACUGAUUCUGGGUUAAUAAUGAUCACAGAUCACCUUUAAAAAACACCAUUGCUCAGAAUGAUGUUAUUUCUGGUGCUUUUGUUGAGUCCCUACUGUUUUAAAAGGUGAUUGCUCUCGGCUUACAGACUUCUGCAUUACUACUAAGCUAUUAACACACAAUUCCAGGCAGCAAGAAAGAGCUGAUUUUUCUCCAGUUCAGAGCAGAGUUCAGAAGGUCAGAUGUGACCACAGUAUCUCCUGUUAUUUUAGGGCUCACAUGGGUUUGCCUUGGCUUCCUCUCCUUGGCAUUUGGUUUCUGUUAUUUUUUCAUUGGGUUUGGUUUAUAGGAAUAAAAAAAAACCCACAAUUUUUUUAAAAAGUGAAGUUUGUAAAGAUGCAGUUUCUGAACUGCUGGUGAAUGGACAUGCAGGCAAUGCAGACCUUCCGGGUUACAUUUAGUGGCACCACACCAUCCCCAUGUGAAUGUGAUGGUUAAGGCAGAAGAUUGACUAGAAACCUGUUCCUGGCUCCCCAAACAAAAUCAGCUCCCAGUCUAUGUACCUAUUUGUGGGGGUGAUGAAAUGUUUUUCUUCUCGCCCUCAGAUUGUUUUCUACUAGAGGCUUUUAUUAUUGACUCUUCUGUGGAAGCGCCAUAUUUGGGCUGCUGAUCUGAGCUCGCUGCAGAAUGUGUGUUUAGGAAAUAAGCUUUUGGUAUCUGUAGACUAUGACUACAAUCACUACUAUGGGUUUAAACUGAAAGAAGAGACCAUGGGCCUAUUAAUGUAACGUGGUAGAAGAGAUGGUGAACUAGGGUGGGAAGGAAGCUGUGGUCCCAAGCUUCUCUACAUGUGGACUCAGCUGAUGAUUGCCAGAAACCCCCAAGGGCUGUUGCUCCUCUUCAAGAAGUCAUGACUUACUUGUCCUAGGAAGUCACCCUGACUUUGGAAGUUCUAAGAGAGCCUCAGGAGAUCUGGGACCCACUGAUGUGAUUGUCAAGGACACAAAGUGAUGUUUACUUCUUCAAGGCUUUAACAGAUAUGUGACUUUCACUAAGUCUGACCUAGAAAGUCUGGGUGCUUUGGUUUGAGUAUGGUCUGUUCCAUACAGACUUAUGUUUUGAAUCUAGUUGGUGCUGAUGGCUUGGAUAGUGGUAUUAUGUUUAGGAGUUGAACCUCAUUGUAGAACCUGUGUCACUGGCGUGGGACUUGAGGUUUAUAGAUCAACCUCACUUGAUGUUUGUGGUCUCCUUCCUGACUGCAGAUCAGUGUGAGCAGCAAUCUCAUGCUCCUGUUGACAUGACUUCUCUGCCAUAAUGGACUGCCAAGUGAAAGCCUUUUUCCUAGUAUCUCUUCCACCUGACCCGCCUGUACUCUGUUGUAUCAACAAGAAAAGAAACUACUAUGUCGGUCCUUUCUUUUCUCAUCUUUCCUUUGGGGACAACUUUUCUCCCUUACACAGAUGUCAUAGAGAAGGAGAGACCUGAUGCGUGUUGUCAGACGCCAGCCCGAGGACAUGUUGGUUUCAGUUGGCUGAGGAAAGAGCAUCAUUUGACGUGUGUUUUCCUUUUCUGGGAAAUGCAGAGGAAUUUCUUCUUCCUGGAAGCAAUGCUAAACUACUGCAGAGUUCCAGGCCUGGGAUGAGAACAAGAUUGUGACCACAUCUGCAUUCAGAAAAAAAUCUUUCUGGCUAUUCCAUGGGGACUGGAAUGGUAGCCUCUUCUUCAAAUGCCAAGAUGCCUGGUUUGAUCCGGAUUCUCUUUCUGCUCCGAUCUCCUUUCCUGCUUCCUUCUCAGUGCUCCGCAUACAUCUGUGCAGCAGCUGCAGAGCUGGGGUUCUCAAGACACUGGCUAAUUUGUAGCAUUAUGGGGACAGUGCUUGGCAGUGGACUGCUCCCAUUAGUGCUGCUCAUGUUCACGUUGUAAGCUUGAUGCCUUCCACAUGCUCCUGUUUUAUUUCAAUCCCCCUGUGGCUAGCCAGUAAUUAACUCAGUGGAGGAAUUUGGUCCAACCUAGUGUCUUUCACUGCAAAAAUUUUUUUAGAAAAAUCUGGCCUGGGCAUGUGAACCAAUGGAAAACAGGCUUCAAACUCACAAGGGACUUUGUUCACUUGCCUGUGUUUUUUCUAGAAUUUCUUCCGUCUUUCACAGAGUCAUGGAGUCAGAAAGGGCUUACAGAGAUUGGAAUCACUCCUGUCUUCAGUUACAGUUGCUGUGCCUCUGCCUGAAUCCUUCAAGGGCUGAGAACAGACUCUCCUGGUAUUCUAAGAUCUGUUCUUUGUCUCCAUUGCUACUCGCUGGCUCAGGCUGCCAUGUUCUCCCGUGUAGACUGAUACAAGUCUCCUUCCUGAUCUUUGUCAAGCAUUUUUUAAUCCUUUCUCCACAGUGUAGUGGAAGUGAAUUUUGUUUGUUUUGUUUCUUUUGUUUUUGUCUUUGUUUUGUUUUUGUUUUGUUUUUGUUUGAAAUAAGUUCUGAGCUUACUAUAGCCCAGGCUGCCCUUGAAGUCAGUGGGAGGCCAAUCAGUCUCCCAAGAGCUGAGAAUACAGACUUUCUUCACCUAUUUAAAGUUCCUUCAACACCUCCCUAUUUUCUUUGGAUUAGCUGCGCUUUCUUUACUGCAAGGCUCAAGGUUUACUCUAACCUUCAAUCCUCCUUGUCCACUGUGCACCAACCACAUUUGUAUUCUCUAGGUUUUCAGACAAACAUCUUUAUUUAUUGUUUGUGUGCUUAUUUUUGUCUUAGACUUAUGGCCUGAGCUGUUGUUACUAUUUAGACAACCUGGUCUCUCUAACUCUUUAUCUUUCUGUUGAAGCAUCACUUACACCGAAAAAAUUUCCUUUCUGUUUGGGUACAGUGCUCUGUCUGUCUUGCUAAUCUUUAUUUCAGUUCUUUAAUGGCUUACGUAUUUUAUAGCACAGAGUUCCCCAACAUUUGCCACCUGAAAUGGCAUCUCACUUGAGUCCCCUCCACAGUUCUCUUAGCUGCUCACACUCAUCUUGUUUUUUAUAAUUUUUCAUAGUGGUUACGAACCCAUCUCCUAAGCCACUUACAGAUCCAAUAAAUAUGCAAAGCUAAGGUUGCCCGCAGUUCACAAGCAAAUAUGGUAGAUGGCCCUUGAGAGAAUUUUGUCUUCAAUCACUGAGAAUUGAGUGAAUCCAUGGAAAAAAUUUUUUACAGAGAAUCUCUCAUUAAAAUGACAGCAAAGAGUUGAAUGUACCAGCCAGUAAAGGAAGAUUUUUGGAGCUGUAUAGAGUCUAUUUUCAAUGGGAGAUCCUGACUAUUUCAUAUAGUCAAGUGUUUGGGGGAAGCAAGUUUGCAAUUGUAAUACAUGAUGGUAGAGGGUCAUUUAUAUGGUGGUCAUGAAGACUAAAUAGAAGCACAGACUCAGGAUUCUGCAAUGAUAUUAUAUUACAAUUAGAAAACUACACUGUCAUUUUCUUCCCUAUUUUAAUAUACACCAUUUUUGUACUUAUAAUAAAAAUACACAUUUAUAAGUAUACUUACAUUUCUCUGGCAAAAUUAAAUUCCUUCUAUUAAGGAAGCUUGCCUUUUCACAGGAAGAGAAUUCAAGUUUUGUUUGGUAGGUGACAAGAGGUACACAGUCCUCUUGAUUGGAAUCAAAUCGCUCUUGUGUGUGUGUGUGUGUGUGUGUGUGUGUGUGUGUGUAUGUGUGAUACUAGAAAUUGGACUCAGGAUCUUGUGUGUGUUAGACAAGCUAUGUACCACUGAGUUAAACCUCAAUCCUACCGUGAACUUAGAGCUAUAUUUGAAUCUGAUUUUGUAUUUGUGAUUUGUUUCUUUUUAAUAAUGCCAGUUCCCCUUUUAUUGAAGAUAGAUUCUUUUCUCAGUUCCUCCCCAGACCCCACCCUUUCCAGAUCUACCCCUUUUCUGUCUCUCAUUAGAAAAAAAAAUAGUCUUCUAAGAGAUAGCAACCAAACACAACAAAAAUAACAUAUAAUAAGAUGAAACAAAAACUAUCAUAUAGAAGUUGGACCUGGCCACCCAACAGGAGGAAAAGAUUAAUGAUAAUACUUCUCAGUGAAACUUAUUCUCAGGAAAAAGUUUGAAAUUGGUAAACUUGUUUUUUUUUCUAGAUUUCUUUUCUGUCUUUGCCAUUUCUCCAUCCUUGGGUAUCCUUAUAUCAGUGUUCUCUCGACAGCUUCUAACUUUACCUUUUAAUCUCUCCUGUCUUACAGUAACAUUUCCCUAUCAUGAUUUCUCUUUCCUCAUACUCUUCAGUAAUAUUGAGAACAAUAAGCCUCAUAAAAUAUAAAAAAGGAAGACAGCAAUCCUUGCUCUGUCAUCUAAGAAAGUCUCUUCUACUUAACAGGAGACAAAACAGAAUUCUGCUUAGUCUGAGCCAUUUCUGUGGAAUGCCUUCUUCCCUCUUCCUGUGGUUUUCAUUGGAAGCUAACAAUGGGUUUGAAACUGCAGUGAAAAGGGACUUGCUGUAGCCUUUAACUCACUGUUGUCGAGCUUCAGAAGACUCCCCCCCCCACCCCCUUAGGAAGACCAGGAAGAAGGGACUGAUUACCACUAACAGUCCCUUAUUCCAGUCUUAAAUGCAUCCCUUCUAGUCAGGGUCCCAUGUGGAGAAGAACUUAGCAUUCUCCCCCUGGUUCUUUAUUCAGUUAUUUAUCAUGGUCCUCACUUCCCUCUCCUAGGCAGUUCUCCAAUUCCCAAUGAUAUUUAUUAGGGACAGGCCACCCAGCGAGUCACUGUGUCUCAUAUGAAUUCUUAUUACACUUUAUUGUCUUUUCUACUUGACUCUUUGCAGCCUUGUAUUUUUCUUUACUGCUUCUUGUAAAGAUAGCCAGCCUUGUAUCUAGUCAGAAUACCAAGAGCCAAAUUCCAGGACAAUUCGGCUUAAUUAGAAUGUUUGAGGACUUUAGGACUAUGGAACUUGAUUGUAAAUGUAUGCUCAAAAUUGGUCUGACUUCUUAAUACUAUGUCUAAGAUAACUCAUUCUCUUCUUUAUGUCUCUAUAAACACAGAAGGAUCUCAUGAAUAUUUCUUUACUUUUAAAGAAUCAUAAAUUCAGAAUUCUGAACAAAUUUCCUAUUCAUAAUACUUGGAGAGCUGAAGCUAGCAUAUGAGACACAACAUGUUAUCCCAAGCUUUAUCCCUAAGACCCGACUUUUAGUCAGUGACCCAAACUUAGGUAUCUAAGUCAGAGAAGUGAUGAUAAAACAUGAUUUCAGGAAAGCCAAAGGCGUCAUGGCAGGACCUCAUGUGAUUGCAAGGAGGCAGGGAUCCGAGUUAAGGAAGACAAACAAGGAUGAGCUUCCAUGCAGAAAAAUAAUUCAUUUGUAGCCUUUCAUCAAGAGAGACGGGUACUUUGUGAUGCUGGGUCUCAGAUUCUCACUGGAAUAGGAACUCAGCAUGCGACGUUCUUCAGAUCCUCAGGAUUUACUGGUACAUAUUCUUUUUACCUCCUGCAUGCAUGGGUCUCAGAAACUAUUGAAAAUGUAGAAGGUGAAGAUUGGUGACUGAAAAUAUUAGGGAACAUAUUUGAAUUCUAACUUUAUCCAUAAUUU
Long non-coding RNA from Mus musculus (house mouse), 9487 nucleotides. RefSeq annotates it as predicted gene, 30258. The record is from RefSeq and is a predicted model, not a curated record. The transcript is spliced from 3 exons. Lineage: Eukaryota; Metazoa; Chordata; Mammalia; Rodentia; Muridae.